UAGUUUAACAAACAAGCUUUUUUUUGCUGCUUUUAAGUGUUAAGUAAUGUAUACAACUGAAUUUACUUUCUUACCACUGAACUUACUAUUGUUCCAAUAGGGUGACAGAGGUCCACCGGGUUUGCCUGGGCUGGAUGGAUUUCAAGGUCGACCGGGUCCUAAAGGUUAUCCAGGGCCACUCGGACUGCCAGGAGAACAAGGUGUACCAGGACUUCCUGGGGAAGCUGGGGCUGCAGGUUACCCUGGCAGGCAGGUGCAGUGAAAAAUACAAAAAUAUGCUUUCAGUUCCUUUAUCGAUCCUCUUAGAUUCUUCAUUGCUCUGUUAAGAAUUCACAGCAUCAUUAAUGAUAACUGCA
RNAcentral lists this long non-coding RNA (356 nucleotides) under Sparus aurata (gilthead seabream). RNAcentral's name for it is "lncRNA (ENSSAUG00010022770.1)". Lineage: Eukaryota; Metazoa; Chordata; Actinopteri; Spariformes; Sparidae. The record is from RNAcentral.